Molecule: long non-coding RNA, 1865 nt
Organism: Cyprinus carpio (common carp)
Lineage: Eukaryota; Metazoa; Chordata; Actinopteri; Cypriniformes; Cyprinidae
Source: Ensembl
CAGUCGGACUGACUGAAGGAGAUCUGACCAUGCAGGUUCUGGAGCUUUCUGAGGGACCUUUUUGGGCUAAUGAAGCAGAUGAUGAACUUUCAGAGGAACACAGUGACGGCGUGCCCUCGAAGACCGUCUCAGCCUAACGCACCGGAUGUAGGACAGACAUGCUGUCUGGCCACACAACCAGGUAUGAAUAUAGUUCCAUUGUUUCCAAGGCAUCAAAUUCUUGAAUGGUCACUGCUUACAGGAAAUAAGUGAUUGGACAUGCAAAACUAUGCCAAUUUUUACCUCAAUUCAUAGAGAAAUUAACCUCAAUAUAAGGACAAGUACUGGCCCACGGACCUGACGGACCUCAGCCAAACUGCCAUGCUUUAGCUCAGCCAGCCACACAGCAGAAAGAGGAGGCGCACCAGCCCAUGUGCUUAAAGCACUACUGGUCCCAGGAGAUAGCAGAGCUUCCUCGACCCAUCCAGCAUCCAGGUGAGUCUUUAGAAAUGAAACAAUUCAUUCUAACACAAUGUCUGGUUUUCAGUGAGUCGGAGAAGAUAGUGUCUGAAAAGAAGCCCGCAGGAACGGUGUCUCCGACAGGAAGUCCCACUCCAGCAGCUCCGCCCUCAUCAGUGCAACACAACACAAUGGCUAGACACCUGGGUGUGGACAGACACUUCCAUGCUCCGUAGAGCCAUCUGGAACUAUAUUCAGUGCAAGUUUGGGAUUCGGUAAGUCUCUUCACUGCUCACAGUUUCAGAAAUAUGUAGCAACAUUGAAUAUGUUUAUUCAUUCUACAAGGAACCAUUUAAAAUGCUGAAGAUGUCUCUGAGACUCCCCCGGGGCCUUCAAAUAUGGGAUUCGGUAAGUCUCUUCACUGCUCACAGUUUCAGAAAUAUGUAGCAACAUUGAAUACAUUUAUUCAUUCUACAAGGAACCUUUUAAAAUGAUAAAGAUGUCUCCGAGACUCCCCCGGGGCCUUCAAAUAAGCACCAGCGGGAGAUCAUUUGUUUAUGCAUCUCAACAGGUCCAAGGCCAGCGGUUUAACAUACGCUUCUGGCAUGUGUGUGCUGAGAUGCUGGACCAGAGGAGGACAGACAUGCUGUCUCUCCACUACUCACAGUUUGCAUUUAUGCUGUCAAUGUACCAGACCAGGCAAUCUGAACAAGUUUUUCUGAAAACAGUGUAUCCGGAGUGUAAAAGGGAUCAACAAGUAUAUGGACAAAUCCACAACAAUGUUAGCCAUGCCCAGCAAAUCUGCAUUCAUGCUCUCAACAUACCAGACUGGCCCUGUGGCGAUUGUAACUGAGAACAGAAUGUUCCUGCUACACGGAUUAGUCGACUUGACAAUUUCAGGGAAUGAAAUCCACAACAAUGUUAGCCAUGCCCAGCAAAUCUGCAUUCAUGCUCUCAACACACCAGACUGGCCCUGUGGCGAUUGUAACUGAGAACAGAAUGUUCCUGCUACACGGAUUAGUCGACUUGACAAUUUCAGGGAAUGCCAUUUUAACCACAAAAUAAUAUUAAUCGUCUUUACUCCACUCCUCUCUGUAUUUCCUCAGCUCUUUUACUUCCUUCUGUAACUGAGUUUUCUCCUGCUCCAAGCAUUGCAUUCUGUGUUGUGCUUGUCCAGCUCCCUUAGAAGAAAGUCUACUUGAAGAGCCAUUUCAUCAUCUACAUUUUCAAAAUCAUUUGUUGUUGAUUUGUGUGUGUGAUUAUUUCUGCAGUGUUACUCAUCUUGCAUUUCACAUCAGUAACGCUCUGUUCCCUUCCUUUAGCAUCAUUCUCAAUCAAGCCACAGCCCAGAUAGGAGCGUCUCCGUGGAGAGACAGGUGAUGUGUGUGUGUGUGUGUGUGUUUUAUAUAUAUAGAUAUGAUCUGAAG